AUUCAGUCUUGAUCAGGACAAAAUACAAAGGCAACACAGAAAAGUUCUAAACAAAACAAUUAUUGUAUAUAUUUCACAAAUAUAAUGAACAUAUGUGUACGGUAAGUGAUGGUUAUCAAACCAGUAUUAGUAUAUCCCAAUGGUCCAAUUGCUGUAAAUAUAUUUCCACUUGAACAAAAUUAGGAGAUUCUGUAAUCUUCAGCUGCUGGAGGUGUAUAAGAACUAGAUUAAAAACAUCUACCCUAAUAUUAGUGUGAUGGGAUUGUGUAGGUCAAAC
Molecule: non-coding RNA, 277 nt
Organism: Pelobates cultripes (western spadefoot toad)
Lineage: Eukaryota; Metazoa; Chordata; Amphibia; Anura; Pelobatidae
Source: the annotation of a GenBank genome assembly